UGUAUCAAUCGUGAUACAUCGGCUAUCUCGGAUUCCUCCGUAAGAUAGGCCUCGUGGCUAACGGUCGCCAUAUUGCCUUGUAUUACUACUUUACUACCCAAAAGGUUGUCAGUCUAUUGUUAUGAGGCUGUAUACGAUGCGCGUUGAACUAGCGCCAAACUUUUCACCGAAACUUUGAUAUAAAUAGCACUAUUAACGUUCAUUUGUGUUGCAUUUUGACCUAUUAUCCAAGUGAUUUACUUUUCCAUUUUUAUUUAAUCACCCUAUCAUCCAAUUUUUAAGAUGAAAUUACGGUGUUUACAAAACCAACCAAACCGAAAGUGAAACUGGAUGCAUUACGUUUCGCGAUGUAAACAUUAAAUAUUUGUUCAGUUUGAGGAAGCGAAUCGAUAAUAGACGUUGAAAUAUGUAUGCAAUACAGACUAUCAUUGCCGAUUGUAGUACUGGCUAAAAAAAUACCUUUUAUGACAGGUUUACUGGAUUAUGAAAGACUGAUAAACAUAAAAUUGACAACUCAUCUCCCCAACGAUACUUUGUGUGGCUCAUUCUCGGAACAAACCCAUAGUCAGUGAGAAAACUACAGUGUAAAAAGACCACUUGAUUGUGACAAUUAUGGCUGACCAAGCAAAUGUUAUCAUUUAAAAUAAAGAAAACUUCCAGUUCAAUA
Dreissena polymorpha is the source of this 667-nucleotide long non-coding RNA. RefSeq lists it as uncharacterized. The transcript is spliced from 2 exons. Lineage: Eukaryota; Metazoa; Mollusca; Bivalvia; Myida; Dreissenidae. The record is from RefSeq and is a predicted model, not a curated record.